GCGAUCAUACCAGCACUAAUGCACCGGAUCCCAUCAAAACUCCAAAGUUAAGCGUGCUUGUCCGAGAGUAGUACUAGGAUGUGUGACCCCCUGGUAAGUCCUCGUGUUGCACCCC
Molecule: ribosomal RNA, 115 nt
Filed under: Salvia splendens (bonfire salvia)
Lineage: Eukaryota; Viridiplantae; Streptophyta; Magnoliopsida; Lamiales; Lamiaceae
Source: RNAcentral